Non-coding RNA from Stegodyphus mimosarum, 74 nucleotides. Lineage: Eukaryota; Metazoa; Arthropoda; Arachnida; Araneae; Eresidae. The record is from Rfam.
GCCUUCGUGGUGUAGUGGUCAGCACACUCGACGCGUAUUUCGAGAGGUUCAUGGUUCAAGUCCCGGGGAGGGCA